ACAUUGCCAAUUCUCAUUCCGUUUCCUCACAAAUUUCCCGGAAAAUCAGAGCACCGUCAUCACCCAGCAAGAUUUCUUUCUUUUUUUUUUUUUUCCUUUCCUUUUUUCCUAUCUCUGCUUCGUCUCAGCUUCCUUUGCUAUCAAUAAUGUAGUAACAAAUCCAUGCUCAACGAUUCCCAUCCUCUAUUUUCCUCGUUUCUUCCAUUUCAUUCAACGCUCCUGCGGCUACUGACGGAGGAUUUCAAUUUCUGUCUAUUCUCGUCUUCUACCUUCUAAGCUCCUAGUAAAGCUCAGUUGCGAAGUCCAAGUGCCAUUUGUGUUCAUCAAACCAUAUCUAUACCAAUUUCUGAGCUUCGUUCAGGAGCUUAGGUUACUAAAUUUGUCGAAAUUAAGCACUUUCACCGAGUGUUGGAAUCUGGGUUGCAGGUGAAAUAAUCAAUCCUACAAGAGCUAUACCUAUGUUCAUAAUCACGUUUGUUUCUGCAGCCUCCGCUGUAUUUAAAGAAUACCUAAUUUAUAUAGAAAGAUGUGGUCAUUCUGCUUUCAACUGAUAUGAAGACCGCACAGAGAGUUCAAGAUGCAAAAAAGGCCUUGGAUGAUACCGAAAAUGACCUACCAAACAACAACAAAACUGAGGCUCCUGUACCAGAUUCAGGUUCAAUAUCUGCCUCUAACAAUGAUGGCAAAAAAGUUUCUCACCAAGAUAUCGAGUUUGUCCAGAAUUUAAUAGAGCGGUGCCUACAGUUAUAUAUGAAUAGAGAUGAGGUGGUUAAGACCCUAUUGAAUCGUGCAAGGAUAGACCCGGGAUUUACUUCGCUAGUUUGGCAGAAGCUGGAAGAAGAGAAUGCUGAUUUUUUCAGAGCCUACUACAUAAGGUUAAAAUUGAAAAAACAAAUCCUUCUUUUCAACCAUUUGCUUGAACAUCAAUACCGUCUCAUGAACUAUUCCAUACCUCCCAAAGUUCCUUUAGCUCCAAUGCAGAAUGGGAUUCAUCCUAUGCCUGUUAACAACUUACCAAUGGGAUAUCCAGUCCUUCAGCAACCUCCAAUGUCAAUGCCAGGUCAACCCCAUCUGGAUACCAUGGCCUCUGGGAUGCCAAGCUGCCAUGUGGUUAAUGGAGUCCCUGCACCUAGUAACUUCCAUCCUAUUAGGAUGAACUCUGGGAACGAUAUGCUGAUGAACAGUGAGGCUGAUGUGGUUCCUGUUAUUCCACCGAACAGUACUAUGUCCUCCAUGUCAGAGAUGUCUAUGAGUCCUGCUUCGGUGGCAUCCAGUGGUCAUUUCUCAUUCACUGCUCCAGAAAUAUCCGGAAUUGGAGUAGAUACUUCCGCACUUGAUACUGCAUUUACAUCUGAAAUGGUAAGUUCAGUUGGUCUGCAACUUUCACAGGAUGGUGGAGCUGGAAAUUCUAGGGAUUCUCUCAGAUCAUUGGAUCAGUUUCAGUGGAAUUUUAGCCUGUCAGAUCUUACAACAGAUUUAUCGAACUUGGGAGAUUUAGGACCCUUAGGAAACUACCCUGGCUCUCCUUUUUUGCCCUCCGACUCAGAAAUAGGUAUGGGAAUUGCGAAGACUCUUUUCAGCUCUAAAUUGUUUAAUGUAACCAAAACCACCUUUUUCCAAAGCAAACAUAUGGCGAGUAUAUAUUUAUUUUGUUUUAUAAGAUGUCAUCAUGACAAGCAAUUUGGUGAAUGUUGAUCGCAUAGGUAAGUGCACCCUACAUUUGUUCGUUAAUCCUUUGUUCCUUCUAGUAUGACUCUUGAAACUCAGAAGUUCCUGGUCGUCCAUGCAAAGUUGGAUGCACAUAGAUAUAUAACUUAUCAUUUGGCCACUCACUAACAUCUUAAUUUUGUCUCAGUGGAGGAGUUCUUUGUUGAUUCAGUCCCUGGGCCGCCGGACGAAGAGAAAUCCUAGACAAAGGUGACAAAGGUUUUUUUUUAGCAACUUGAACAAGUAGGAUAGGAUAAGAUUUGUUCAGAAAUCAAGAGUUCAUUGUCUAUCAAUAAGUAGGCAUCCAGUAAUUUUGUCAUCGACAGAUUUGAAUCAUUUAAAUUUGUAGUCACAUAGCUUGCUUUGUAGGAAUGUAGAUAGGGAAGUAAGUCAUGUAGGGGCACUCUUGUGCUGCUCAUUUCAGAGAUCUCCGGUUGCUUGGAAGUUGAAGCUGCUGUGUUCAGUUCUUAAUCCUUUGUCUCGUCUGGAUUUAAAGGUGAAUCAGGACAGGAACAAAUAAUUGAGAAAAGUGGGCCAUUUCCUUUUCUUCUGCACUUAAAAUUCUUCUGAUAGGGUGGAGUUUAUUUAAACACAAAAAUGAAAUUACCCAUUCCAAAAGUAGCUUUUGAAAUGGGUUUUUCUCCAGCACCAAAGUUGAAAGAGUGCCUAAGAUGGCUCUGCUUGCACUUGCUGCAUUGCUGUCAUUUUGAAGAAUCAUUCACCUUAUCAAAUUGUAAAGGUUGCAAUUGUAACAACCCUUUUUAUCACUAUCAAAUAUUAUAUUGUGUGUGUGUGGUGAGAAAGAGAACACCUUUAUCUUUCUCUUUCUUCCUUUGUUUCUUGUGGGGUGUAGAGUAUAUAUGGGGAUCUUGAUCUUUUUA
Molecule: RNA transcript, 2588 nt
Organism: Momordica charantia (bitter melon)
Lineage: Eukaryota; Viridiplantae; Streptophyta; Magnoliopsida; Cucurbitales; Cucurbitaceae
Source: RefSeq, a predicted model, not a curated record